Molecule: transfer RNA, 75 nt
Filed under: Microcaldota archaeon
Lineage: Archaea; Nanobdellati; Microcaldota
Also listed under: 1 other name
Description: tRNA-Arg
Rfam family: tRNA
About the family: Transfer RNA (tRNA) molecules are approximately 80 nucleotides in length. Their secondary structure includes four short double-helical elements and three loops (D, anti-codon, and T loops).
Source: RNAcentral
GGGUGUGUGGCGCAACUUGGAUAGCGCAUUGGCUUGCGGAGCCAGAGGUUGCGGGUUCGAAUCCCGUCACACCCG